AAAAAAAAUGCAAGGUGCAGAGUAAUGGAAUAAAAAAAAUUCACAAGGUCAUUUUUUAAAAGUUUAACUUUUAACUUAAUCACACCAUUUUUCUAACACUAGAGUUGCUAUCAAACGAAAAAGCUGCAUAGUAGAAUGCAAAACCAUGAAAUGCAGAGACGUGGAAUUUUAAAAAAGCAAGGUCAGAGGCAGAGGCCAAAUAUACAUAUUUUUUAAGCUGAACUUAUUUUCAUUUAAACACCGUGCUUUUAAAAAGAUGUCAAAUGCAAGAAGGUACAAAAUACACAAAACCCAGCACAAUGAUCAAAUGUGUCCAUCUAGUGCAUGUUUACAUAGAAAACAAUAGAAAAGCACAAAAACAAAUGAAACAAAUUGAAAAGCAGUGUACAGUGAACAGCUCCUGUGUAUGCAUUUAAAACAGCCUUUGCAUGGCGAGAUAUAAAAUUCUCUUUGGAAAAAAAAAACAAAAAAAACUGUCUUUCUUUUUUGAUUAGUGUAAACGGGAUCAGAGCACAUGUUUCUGCUCUUGUGUUUAAGUCCUCUACAGAUAGCAGUCUUCUCAUUAAACUGAUCUCCUGCAGUGAUGGAGAUCCAUGUACCGGUGUGAUUCGGCUUGAGAACACUGAGUCUAAUCAUGCCUAUUAUCCAAUGCAUUUCCUCAGUCUCUAGGAGUUGUGCUUAAAAACAAUUGAUGAUUAUACUGAAAAAAACAUAGGUAGUGCAGCCAACCCUUGGUGUUUAUGCGAUAAAAUGCUUAAUUAAUACAUUACAGUGUGAAAAAAUCUCCAACCGAUGCUUGUGCUUGUGAAGACUGAAGUAUAGAGCACAGUUCAGACACUCUUCCGGCAGCUUCCCACAUUUUCUUUGAAUAUACCACUUGCCGAGCUAUCUGAAUUCAAGUCUUUAUGCUACUUUGUAGUGGGAAUGAAGAAAAAUACCCUGAGGAUAUUUUCAACAGACCCGAGUGUCCAUGGGUGAAAGGGCUUAGAUCAAUGCAGAGUAAUUACACAUGCUUCCGUCCAGUAUUACAGAACUCUGUAGGGUUGAAGAGGGACAGAGGGAAAUAACAUUAUUUUGCCGUGUCAGACUGUCAUGCCUGUCAGUAAUAUUCUGUAAUGAUUAUCUUUAAUGAACAGCUAAUAAUUAAACAAGUAUGAUUCGACCCCAAGAUGUCACAAAUGGCAGCUGCUUGGCUGGUGCAGGACCUUUGAAAGUGGAGAAGCUAGAGCCUGCAAAUUUGCUUACGAAGGAUUUUUCACGUUACUGAUCACUGUUAAAAGGGAAAAGUUUCACACUUUCAAGAGACUUAAACAUUUGUCACUAGUACAACAUCUACUAUCCCAGGUGAAAAAACACAAUGUCCCCACUGGAUGCAACAAAUGCCUCAUUUGUAAUGGGUUUUAUUGUUUUUUUCUCAUCUAGUGAUGUCCGGAUCGCAAACCAAGCUUUCUAUUUAACCGGAUCUUCUUAGUGAACCAGUUCACCAAAUCAAACUGAAUCAUUUGAAACGGUUUGCACCUCCAGUAAGCACUAAUCCGCAAAUUACUUAAGUUAUUCGUACCUUACACUCCCUCUGACGCGAAAUAAACCAAUAUCCCGAGUUAUUCAGUUACUUCUAACAGUACUUUGACUGAACUGCUGAAAGAGAACCGAUGAUGGGAUGUGCACAAGCAGAGCAGCUGCACUGAAUCUCGUGCUGCUGGCCUGGGAGGCGGCAUAGUAUGUUAAGGGGCGUAACAUUUCCGUCACACGCUUGAGGCAUUCGGCCAAUCACAACGCACUGGAUAGCUGGCCAAUCAGAGCACACCUCGCUUUUUCAGAACGAUGAGCUUUGUAAAAAUCGAUGCAUUUCAGAAAGGCGGGGCAUAGAGGAGAAACAAUAAUGGAAUAUGGAAAAUAUUGUGUUUUUUGAACCUUAAACCACAUAAACACAUUGCAUUAUACCAAAUACACAAAAUAAUGUUCUUUUUAGCAGCAUCAUAUGACCCCUUUAAGAGUAAAAUUAUACCUGUCAUUGUCUUCAAAAGUAAAUUAAAUACAAAAUGACUUCACAAGUAAAGUAGCAUAAAAGUAAAAAGAGUAUAAAAUAGCCCCUGGUUUUUGGGUGUAGAAUAGAAAUAAUAUUAAAUCACUAUUAUUCAUUUCCCAACUGAACUAUUCACAUAGAACAAACAAUGCAUUUGUGAGUGUGUCAUUCUUUACAACAUGAAUUGAUUUGUAUAAAUU
This is a long non-coding RNA of Cyprinus carpio carpio, 2226 nucleotides long. Lineage: Eukaryota; Metazoa; Chordata; Actinopteri; Cypriniformes; Cyprinidae. The record is from Ensembl.